UGGGGAAUCUUGCGCAAUGGGCGAAAGCCUGACGCAGCGACGCCGCGUGGGGGAUGAAGGCCUUUCAGGUUGUAAACCCCUUUCGGCAGGGACGAAGCGAUCUCGUGACGGUACCUGCAGAAGAAGCCUCGGCUAACUACGUGCCAGCAGCCGCGGUAACACGUAGGAGGCGAGCGUUGUCCGGAAUCAUUGGGCGUAAAGAGCGCGCAGGCGGCUUGGCAAGUCGGGUGUGAAAUCCCGGGGCUCAACCCCGGGACUGCAUUCGAUACUGUCAGGCUAGAGGUAGGUAGGGGAGAUCGGAAUUCCUGGUGUAGCGGUGAAAUGCGCAGAUAUCAGGAGGAACACCGGUGGCGAAGGCGGAUCUCUGGGCCUUACCUGACGCUCAGGCGCGAAAGCUAGGGGAGCGAACAGG
This 412-nucleotide ribosomal RNA is filed under the name bacterium. Its description in RNAcentral is "partial 16S ribosomal RNA". It matches the Rfam family "Bacterial small subunit ribosomal RNA", at positions 355 to 776 of the family's 1533-position model. The record is from RNAcentral.